CGGCAACAGCUCAAAUUUGAAAUCUGGCGCCUUUGGUGUCCGAGUUGUAAUUUGCAGAGGGCGCUUUGGCGUCGGCCCCGGCCUAAGUUCCUUGGAACAGGACGCUUCAUAGGGUGAGAGCCCCGUACGCGGCCGCCGGCCUUCGCCGUGUAAAGCCCCUUCGAC
This 165-nucleotide ribosomal RNA is filed under the name Massarinaceae sp. RNAcentral's name for it is "partial large subunit ribosomal RNA". It matches the Rfam family "Eukaryotic large subunit ribosomal RNA", at positions 99 to 261 of the family's 3401-position model. Lineage: Eukaryota; Fungi; Ascomycota; Dothideomycetes; Pleosporales; Massarinaceae. The record is from RNAcentral.